CGGCUACAAGAAGCGGGCCGCGUGCCUGUGUUUCCGCAGCGAGAGCGAGGAGGAGGUGCUACUUGUGAGCAGUAGUCGCCAUCCAGACCGAUGGAUUGUCCCUGGAGGAGGCAUGGAGCCGGAGGAGGAGCCAAGUGUGGCAGCAGUCCGUGAAGUCUGUGAGGAGGUAUGCCUUGAGAAGAAAGGGACAUUGGGAAGGUAGU
Molecule: non-coding RNA, 203 nt
Organism: Vicugna pacos (alpaca)
Lineage: Eukaryota; Metazoa; Chordata; Mammalia; Artiodactyla; Camelidae
Source: RefSeq, a predicted model, not a curated record